RNAcentral lists this long non-coding RNA (440 nucleotides) under Daucus carota (carrot). Its description in RNAcentral is "long non-coding RNA (DCAR_LNC004335)". The record is from RNAcentral. Lineage: Eukaryota; Viridiplantae; Streptophyta; Magnoliopsida; Apiales; Apiaceae.
AAAAAAUCUUUUGUUGUAAUAGAUAAUAGUAUAUCCGAUUCUUCUGGACUUCGAUUAUCGAUUACAGAAUCAUCUAUAUACAAAUGAAAAUCACUAAAUUAAUAAUAUGUAUAGUGGAAGCGACUAAAGAUUCUUUCUGCAAUAGAUAUCAACAUGGUAACUAAAAUUCAUGAAUGAAAGUUUAGUCAUGAAAAUUACCUCUCUGAAUAACCUGAUUGACAUGUCCUAAGUCGCAUGCUUCGUAGAGCUCUUCCACAUUUUUUGUCCGAACGAGUUCGAUUAUAUCAUUGAGAUCUGCUAAACCUUCAUCUUCAAUUUCUGUAUUCAUGCUUUACACUUGCGAUGGAAACGAGUUGGAAGCCAGAGGGGAGAUGAAGGGUUUAUGUAAAGAAAUUAGGUAAGCCUGUUUGUUUGAUAUUAAAUCAUCCGUAUACUCUAGA